Molecule: ribosomal RNA, 848 nt
Filed under: uncultured bacterium
Lineage: Bacteria
Description: bacterial SSU rRNA
Rfam family: Bacterial small subunit ribosomal RNA
Source: RNAcentral
CUCUUCGGGGAUGAUUAAACCGGCGCACGGGUGAGUAACACGUGAGUGACCUGCCUUUUAGACUGGAACAACUUACCGAAAGGUGAGCUAAUGCCGGAUGAGUUAUAUAAGUGCAUGUUUAUAUAGGAAAAGUUGGGGAGACCUGACGCUGAAAGAUGGACUCGCGUCCCAUUAGCUAGUUGGUAGGGUAAUGGCCUACCAAGGCGACGAUGGGUAGCCGGCCUGAGAGGGUGGCCGGCCACACUGGGACUGAGACACGGCCCAGACUCCUACGGGAGGCAGCAGUGGGGAAUUUUGCGCAAUGCUCGUAAGAGUGACGCAGCGACGCCGCGUGAAUGACGAAGGCCUUCGGGUCGUAAAGUUCUUUCGACAGGGAAGAAAAUGCCUAUAAGUAACUGUGUAUGUAUUGACGGUACCUGUAUAAGCAGCCCCGGCUAACUCCGUGCCAGCAGCCGCGGUAAUACGGAGGGGGCGAGCGUUGUUCGGAGUGACUGGGCGUAAAGAGCACGUAGGCGGUGUUGUAAGUCAUUAGUCAAAGACUAGAGCUCAACUUUAGUAAGGCUAGUGAUACUAUAAUACUAGAGUAUCAGAGAGGAUUGCAGAAUUCCUGGUGUAGCGGUGAAAUGCGUAGAUAUCAGGAGGAAUACCGUUAGCGAAGGCGGCAAUCUGGCUGGAAACUGACGCUGAGGUGCGAAAGCGUGGGUAGCAAACAGGAUUAGAUACCCUGGUAGUCCACGCUGUAAACGAUGGAUGCUAGGUGUUGGGCUUUUAAGUUCAGUGCCGCAGCAAACGCGAUAAGCAUCCCGCCUGGGGAGUACGUUUGCAAGAAUGAAACUCAAAGGAAUUGA